AUCCUGGGGGUGGAGAAGCUCCCAAGGGUUUGGCUGUUCGCCAAUUAAAAAGUUACGUGAGCUGGGUUCAAACCGUCGUGAGACAGGUUAGUCUCCUAUCUACUGUGCCCGUUGAUUUUUGAGGGGAGUUCUCCCUAGUAAAUUUUGCUACUUCAUGGAGUAAUCCAUGAUGACAAUUUGGCUAAUAACGGUGGAACCUUCAUAAAUUUUCUGGUUGUAUUUAUCCACAGCCCAUAGGUCCGGGGUGUGGUAUCAUGAAGUUACUUGAGGACCAGAAAAUUUUUAAGGCAAUACCGUGGGAAGUCGAUCUAAAACUAAAAAGAACAAAUUAAAUUAUGCUUACAUUGCCGGAUUUUUAGACGGUGACGGCAGUUUGAUGCUGCAGAUUAAAAAACGCAGCGAUUCAAAGAAAGGCUGGCGAUUUAUGUCCACUAUCUGUUUUUAUCAGGAUAGCAGGCACGAUAAGCCGCUUUCAUGGAUCAAGAAAAUUCUUGGUAUUGGAUAUUUAUCGAAGCGAAACGAUGGAAUGACGGAAUUGCGGAUAAAUGGUUAUCGGCAAAUUCACGAUAUUCUCAAAAUUUUGCUUCCAUUUAUUCAAUUCAAGCGAGUUCAGGCAGAAGCGCUUUUGAAAGCAUCUGCUUUGCUUGCUAAAAAAUCUUUAGUUGGAUUUUCGCUUGAAGAACGGCAAAAAUUGUUAAAUUGGAUUUUGAUAAUCCAGUCCAAUAAUUAUGCCAGUCGGACGAAAACUACUAAAGAGAUUUUGGAAAAAGUUUUAGAUUUGACCCCGUAACGACUUGUUCCUGAUUUUUUAGUCAGGACGGACUCAUAUAAAUUGGAAAGCCGUGCAAUAAUAUGCCGGCAGAUUUAUGUGGGUAAUACGCCAACCCCCGCAGUUGCGGGGUGAAGAUAUAGUCUGUGCUCCUAGAAAUAGGGGGUAUACAUGACGAGAGGACCGGGAGGAGUUGACCUCUGGUCUACGAGCUCUGCCGCCAGGUGGAUCGCUCGGUAGCUAUGUCGAUAAGUGAUAAGCGCUGAAAGCAUCUAAGCGCGAAGCACGCCCCAAGAUUAGAAAUCGUUAUCAGACUCGUGGAAGAUGACCACGUUGAUAGGCUCUAGGUGUAAGCAUCGUAAGGUGUUCAGCCGAGGAGUACUAAUGUUCGAAUUGCUUUUUA
This 1172-nucleotide ribosomal RNA is filed under the name Candidatus Giovannonibacteria bacterium RIFCSPHIGHO2_02_FULL_44_11. RNAcentral's name for it is "partial 23S ribosomal RNA". It matches the Rfam family "Bacterial large subunit ribosomal RNA", at positions 2544 to 2919 of the family's 2925-position model. Lineage: Bacteria; Candidatus Giovannoniibacteriota. The record is from RNAcentral.